AGCGGCGGACGGGUGAGUAACACGCGGGUAACCUGCCCGAGAGACUGGGAUAACACCUGGAAACAGAUGCUAAUACCGGAUAACAACACUAGACGCAUGUCUAGAGUUUGAAAGAUGGUUCUGCUAUCACUCUUGGAUGGACCUGCGGUGCAUUAGCUAGUUGGUAAGGUAACGGCUUACCAAGGCAAUGAUGCAUGGCCGAGUUGAGAGACUGAUCGGCCACAUGGGACUGAGACACGGCCCAAACUCCUACGGGAGGCAGCAGUAGGGAAUCUUCCACAAUGGACGAAAGUCUGAUGGAGCAACGCCGCGUGAGUGAAGAAGGGUUUCGGCUCGUAAAGCUCUGUUGGUAGUGAAGAAAGAUAGAGGUAGUAACUGGCCUUUAUUUGACGGUAAUUACUUAGAAAGUCACGGCUAACUACGUGCCAGCAGCCGCGGUAAUACGUAGGUGGCAAGCGUUGUCCGGAUUUAUUGGGCGUAAAGCGAGUGCAGGCGGUUCAAUAAGUCUGAUGUGAAAGCCUUCGGCUCAACCGGAGAAUUGCAUCAGAAACUGUUGAACUUGAGUGCAGAAGAGGAGAGUGGAACUCCAUGUGUAGCGGUGGAAUGCGUAGAUAUAUGGAAGAACACCAGUGGCGAAGGCGGCUCUCUGGUCUGCAACUGACGCCGAGGCUCGAAAGCAUGGGUAGCGAACAGGAUUAGAUACCCUGGUAGUCCAUGCCGUAAACGAUGAGUGCUAAGUGU
Molecule: ribosomal RNA, 741 nt
Filed under: uncultured bacterium
Lineage: Bacteria
Description: bacterial SSU rRNA
Rfam family: Bacterial small subunit ribosomal RNA
Source: RNAcentral